Molecule: ribosomal RNA, 429 nt
Filed under: Pseudomonadota bacterium
Lineage: Bacteria; Pseudomonadati; Pseudomonadota
Description: Proteobacteria bacterium partial 16S ribosomal RNA
Rfam family: Bacterial small subunit ribosomal RNA
Source: RNAcentral
UGGGGAAUAUUGGACAAUGGGCGAAAGCCUGAUCCAGCCAUGCCGCGUGUGUGAAGUAGGUCUUCGGAUUGUAAAGCACUUUAAGUUGGGAGGAAGGGCAGUAAGCGAAUACCUUGCUGUUUUGACGUUACCGACAGAAUAAGCACCGGCUAACUCUGUGCCAGCAGCCGCGGUAAUACAGAGGUUGCAAGCGUUAAUCGGAAUUACUGGGCGUAAAGCGCGCGUAGGUGGUUCGUUAAGUUGAAUGUGAAAGCCCCGGGCUCAACCUGGGAACUGCAUCCAAAACUGGCGAGCUAGAGUAGGGCAGAGGGUGGUGGAAUUUCCUGUGUAGCGGUGAAAUGCGUAGAUAUAGGAAGGAACACCAGUGGCGAAGGCGACCACCUGGGCUCAUACUGACACUGAGGUGCGAAAGCGUGGGGAGCAAACAGG